This is a long non-coding RNA of Hibiscus syriacus, 1107 nucleotides long. RefSeq lists it as uncharacterized. The transcript has 6 exons. The record is from RefSeq and is a predicted model, not a curated record. Lineage: Eukaryota; Viridiplantae; Streptophyta; Magnoliopsida; Malvales; Malvaceae.
AAUACCCGUCUUCCCGACAGGACCUUUUCAGCCCCAGCCUCCGCCCUCGGCCCUUGGCCGCGCCUCCGUUUUCCUUUGCAUUAUCUUUUGCACCGCCCACAUCUGAGCGGAAAGCUACUGAAAUUAACCCAAAGAUGAGCUGAAAAGUACUGAAAUUAACACACAUCAACCAUUAUUGUUGGUAUACCUGUUUUUGUUACCGGGGGAGUGCAUAGACAUGGCGAGCAUACAAUGGAUAUAUACUCUGAUCUCACAGAGCUGGGAAGGACACCAGUGGCGGUUGUCUCCGCUGGUGUAAAAUCUAUAUUAGAUAUUCCAAGGACACUGGAAUAUUUGGCACUUAUUCACUUUGUCGACAAGUUUUUUUCGAAAGAUUCCGGCUUCAUACUGAAUUAUCAAUCUUUAUACGUUAGUGCAACAUUGUAAGUUUUUGUUGUUAAUACAGGAAACAGGGUGUUUGUGUGGCUGCUUACAAGACCAAUGAGUUUCCUGUUAUUUUUACUCAAACAAGUGGCUGCAAGGUAUAAAUAGACAACUCAUAGAACAUCGUAUCAAGGUGCCUUGUCGGGUCGAUAGCCCAGAAGAAUGUGCACGAUUAAUCAGCAAGUGACAAAAUUCAUUCGAUCGUAUCUUCAGUUCAUUAAGAGCUAGUAGUUUUGUCUUCAUGACUUUUUUUCCCUUAACUACAGAUGCAAACAGGAAACUCAAUCUCGGAAAUGGAGUAUUGAUUGCAGUUCCCAUCCCAAAAGAACACACGGCUUCGGGAAGCUUAAUGGAGUCUGCAAUACAACAAGCCCUUACAGAGGCUAGGGAAAAGAACAUAACAGGGAACGCCGAGACUCCGUUCUUGCUUGCAUGGGUUAAUGAAAUAACUGGAGGAGCAUCACUUGCUUCUAACAUUGCGCUUGUGAAAUACAAUUGUCAUGCCCUCAUAACCUUCAAGUCCAAACUGUCACCCUUCAGACCUUAACUCUGAUAUUCCGACAGUUUGGGUUUGAAGGUUGUGAGGGUGUGAAACAAUGCAGCUAUUGGAGCCAAGAUAUCUGUAGCCCUGUCCAACCUCUCCCCAAAUAACAUUGUGUACAGCUACACUAUACGGAGUUGCUG